AUGAACGCUGGCGGCGUGCUUAACACAUGCAAGUCGAACGAAGCAUUUAGGACAGAUUACUUCGGUUUGAAGUUCUUUAUGACUGAGUGGCGGACGGGUGAGUAACGCGUGGGUAACCUGCCUUGUACUGGGGGAUAGCAGCUGGAAACGGCUGGUAAUACCGCAUAAGCGCACAAUGUUGCAUGAAAUGGUGUGAAAAACUCCGGUGGUAUAAGAUGGACCCGCGUCUGAUUAGCUAGUUGGUGAGAUAACAGCCCACCAAGGCGACGAUCAGUAGCCGACCUGAGAGGGUGACCGGCCACAUUGGGACUGAGACACGGCCCAGACUCCUACGGGAGGCAGCAGUGGGGAAUAUUGCACAAUGGAGGAAACUCUGAUGCAGCGACGCCGCGUGAGUGAAGAAGUAAUUCGUUAUGUAAAGCUCUAUCAGCAGGGAAGAUAGUGACGGUACCUGACUAAGAAGCUCCGGCUAAAUACGUG
RNAcentral lists this ribosomal RNA (480 nucleotides) under uncultured bacterium. Its description in RNAcentral is "partial 16S ribosomal RNA". It matches the Rfam family "Bacterial small subunit ribosomal RNA", at positions 29 to 507 of the family's 1533-position model. The record is from RNAcentral.